Molecule: small RNA, 1058 nt
Filed under: Pan troglodytes (chimpanzee)
Lineage: Eukaryota; Metazoa; Chordata; Mammalia; Primates; Hominidae
Description: retained intron
Source: RNAcentral
CAGAGUGCUGGCCUGGCUCACAGGCAUGCCUCCUUCUGGGACCUCCUCCACCCCCUACAGUUUGGCGCUCAGUAAUCUCUUGUUUUCUUGUCUCCCUCAGGACACUGGGUCCCCUAGGAGCCUCCCCAGGCUUAAUGAUUGUCCAGAAGGCGGCUAUAAAGGGAGCCUGGGAGGCUGGGUGGAGGAGGGAGCAGAAAAAACCCAACUCAGCAGAUCUGGGAACUGUGAGAGCGGCAAGCAGGAACUGUGGUCAGAGGCUGUGCGUCUUGGCUGGUAGGGCCUGCUCUUUUCUACCAUGGCAGCCCAGGGCUAUGGCUAUUAUCGCACUGUGAUCUUCUCAGCCAUGUUUGGGGGCUACAGCCUGUAUUACUUCAAUCGCAAGACCUUCUCCUUUGUCAUGCCAUCAUUGGUGGAAGAGAUCCCUUUGGACAAGGAUGAUUUGGGGUUCAUCACCAGCAGCCAGUCGGCAGCUUAUGCUAUCAGCAAGUUUGUCAGUGGGGUGCUGUCUGACCAGAUGAGUGCUCGCUGGCUCUUCUCUUCUGGGCUGCUCCUGGUUGGCCUGGUCAACAUAUUCUUUUCCUGGAGCUCCACAGUACCUGUCUUUGCUGCCCUCUGGUUCCUUAAUGGCCUGGCCCAGGGGCUGGGCUGGCCCCCAUGUGGGAAGGUCCUGCGGAAGGUGAGUGCUUCCAAAGAGCCUGUUUGGAUUGUCAUAGAGGAUGCCUAAAGAGCAUGUGGGAGCGCCCUUUCUUACCCACCACCUCCACACCCAACCCAGAGCAGGUUCCUGAGCAGUUCCUGGCCAGCUCCUAUUGCUUGUCAAGAUAUUUUAGGAGGCUGAGAGUGGUGGGAUCAGGUGGCAGAGGAGGAAACUGCCCUGCCAAACAGAAGCGCCCUCUCCCUCUUCCCUGUAAUGUGAGCUUCUGGGGCUGCCCCAUCUGACCCCACCCUCAACAUGGGCAGUAGGCUGGACACCUACGUGUCGCCCUCUGCCCCACAGUGGUUUGAGCCAUCUCAGUUUGGCACUUGGUGGGCCAUCCUGUCAACCAGCAUGAACCUGG